AUCGAUAGCGCAGAUGGAUGGGUUAGUUUGGUUAGGAUAACCUCGCAAUUGUCUAUGUUAAUGUUUGUGUGUUACUAGUUUCGUAAUGUGGACGUGUAUCCGUACAGUUUCUCGUAAUUAUGUUCAUUUAUCUCAUUUUACGACGAGAAAGUUAUAUUUGUUUUAACUAAAUAAUACGAACAGUGAAACAGGAUAAUGUUUAUGGUUGUUGCUUAUUCUUACGAAGACGCUAAGAAAGUGCGAGUGGUGCUUGGAUUCAUUUCUGGGAGCAAAUUUACAACGGCCAGGUACAGGGCUGCUUCUAACUGAAUGUAUUUACAGUUAUUAGCUAUCGCCUUGAGGCGGUAAUAUUCGGUGAGGUGUUCAAGAAAUUGCUCGUCUAUUACGGGACCAAAGGUGCGUUAUUGUGUUAAGAAGAGCCAAUAGAAAAAAAACUUUUUGAUUAUCAUAAUCCAUUGUCGAAAUGUCAUUUUUUUGCUGUUGUUGGCGUAACGCAGCUGGCCGUUGUGUCGUAAAUAGACUCAAAUUUAUGGGCGUUGUAAGUACAGUGCAUCAUCAUAUAGACAUGAUAUAGUGUUGGAUGAUUCUUAAGGGUUCUUCGUAGUGACGGCGGACAGACGCAAAGUGCACGAGAACUGGCGAAUUUUUCCGGACGAUGAAGUUGUAAACUAGUGUUGUGGUUGUCAUUCUGGAUGGUAUUUGGAGUGAUGGAAAACUUGUGGAUAUUUCUGAUUCUAGCAAUUGGUGCUAAAUCCCAGCACGGAAUCCACGGACCAGUGUUUCUGUUAGAACCUCCUCCGGUUCUCCGCUUCUCGAAUGCCACCGGGUCGCAAGUCAGUUGCUCGGCCCACGGUUCCCCGGCCCCCGACGUCACCUGGCUUCAUCAUGACGGCUCUGUCGUCACUGCCGUCCCUGGA
This is a non-coding RNA of Zootermopsis nevadensis, 917 nucleotides long. NCBI's taxonomy places the organism in Eukaryota, Metazoa, Arthropoda, Insecta, Blattodea, Termopsidae. The record is from RefSeq and is a predicted model, not a curated record.